CCUACGGGAGGCAGCAGUGAGGAAUAUUGGUCAAUGGCCGAGAGGCUGAACCAGCCAAGUCGCGUGAGGGAAGACGGCCCUACGGGUUGUACACCUCUUUUGUCGGGGAGCAAAGCGAGUCACGUGUGACUCAUUGAGAGUACCCGAAGAAAAAGCAUCGGCUAACUCCGUGCCAGCAGCCGCGGUGAUACGGAGGAUGCGAGCGUUAUCCGGAUUUAUUGGGUUUAAAGGGUGCGCAGGCGGAGGUGCAAGUCAGCGGUCAAAUUGCGGGGCUCAACCCCGUACUGCCGUUGAAACUGCAGCCCUUGAGGGCGCGAGAAGUAUGCGGAAUGCGUGGUGUAGCGGUGAAAGGCAUAGAUAGCACGCAGAACUCCGAUUGCGAAGGCAGCAUACCGGCGCGCAACUGACGCUCAUGCACGAAAGCGUGGGUAUCGAACAGGAUUAGAUACCCGAGUAGUC
Molecule: ribosomal RNA, 459 nt
Filed under: uncultured bacterium
Lineage: Bacteria
Description: partial 16S ribosomal RNA
Rfam family: Bacterial small subunit ribosomal RNA
Source: RNAcentral